RNAcentral lists this unclassified non-coding RNA (140 nucleotides) under soil metagenome. RNAcentral describes it as "partial internal transcribed spacer 1". The record is from RNAcentral.
UCAAAACAGCGGACUUCGGUCCUUGCUGCACCCUUGUCUUUUGCGCACCGUAUUGUUUCCUCGACGGGCUUGCCUGCCGGUUGGACAUUAUCAAAACCUUUUUGUAGUUGCAAUCAGCGUCAGAAAAACAAUAAUUAUUA